GCCCUGAGUUAGCACAGGAGAUGGUGAACCCGACCCAACUACCGCCAGUGAGCCCAUGCCAGAUUGAGGACUGUACGGAUAACGUACCGCGGGAUUGUGCAGCCAAUCCUGAGCCAAGGUUGAUGAAUGGCCUUGGGUUCGAUUUUUUAAGAAAUCAAGGAAGAACAUGUGGUCUAUGAGUGAAACCCGUCAUACUCUCCUUACAAGUGAUGUUGUUGGCAAGGUUGAUCGCCCUGAAAUCAUUCUGACUGGCAGAAGAUUGUAUUAUACAUUUACAGAUGCACAGCUCCUGUGAAGAAAAUCCCAGGAUGUUUAAAAAAAAAAAAAAAGUUAAUUAGAGAAAGGACACAACUGUGAUGUUAUAGACGUUUUUAAAUUAGAGAAAGGACACAACUGUGAUGUUGUAGACAUUUUUAAUCACACUACACCUUGUAACAAGAAAUUCAUAAAUGUUGAAGUUUCUAUGUGAAA
Molecule: long non-coding RNA, 471 nt
Organism: Mya arenaria
Lineage: Eukaryota; Metazoa; Mollusca; Bivalvia; Myida; Myidae
Exons: 3
Source: RefSeq, a predicted model, not a curated record